GGUCAAGAUACUAAGGGCGUACGGGGGAUGACUUGGCACUGAGACGCGAUGAAGGACGUGGAAACCUGCGAUAAGCCUCGGGCAGUCGGUAACAGACGCUAUGACCCGGGGAUCUCCUAAUGGGGAAACCCUCCUGGUUUGAAUACCAGGAACGCCCGGCUGAAUACAUAGGCCGGCGCGAGCAAACGUGGGAAACUGAACCAUCUAAGUACCCACAGGAAAAGAAAUCGAAGAGACUUCCUAAGUAGCGGCGAGCGAAAGGGAAUCAGCCCAAACCUCAUGCAUGUAAGGUUGCAGCCGUUGUGCAUGUGGGGUCGUGGGGUCCUACGCGGGAACUGCAAAACCCGCACAGAGUUACAAAAUCGAACCUAACAGAACGGACUGGAAAGUCCGGCCGAAGAAGGUGAAAGCCCUGUAGGUGAAAGGUUACGAUCUCUGAAGGAUACCCCAAGUACAGUCGGUUAAGAGGAAUCCGGCUGGAAUUCAGGGAGCCCACUCUCUAAGGCUAAAUAGUACUCAGUGACCGAUAGUGAACCAGUACCGUAAGGGAAAGUUGGAAAGAUCCCCGGAAGGGGAGGAAUUGAUCCUGAAACCGUAUGUCUACAAGCGGUCGAAGCUCUAUACCCGUAUGGGCAGGAGCGACGGCGUGCCUUUUGCAUAAUGAUCCGGGGAGUUUCGUUACGUUGCAAGGUUAAGCGCCUCUGGCGCGAAGCCGAAGCGAAAGCGAGUGCGAAACGUGCGACUAUAGUAACGUGACGAAGGCCCGAAACCGGAGGAUCUAUCCUUGGCCAGGGUGAAGUGAGCUUAACCGCUCAUGGAGGCCCGAACGGUUUAGAGUUGAAAAUCUAUCCGAUGAGCUGAGGAUAGGAGUGAAAAGCUAACCGACUUCGGAGAUAGCUGGUUCUCCGCGAAAAAACUUUAGGGUUUGCCUCAAGUAAUAGCAGAUGGGGGUAGAGAUACUGAGAGGAUUGGUGGGCGGUUCGCCGUACCCCAUCCUUUUAAACUCCGAAUACCAUCAGCCGUAUCUUGGGAGUAAGACGGUGGGGGAUAAGCUCCAUCGUCGAGAGGGAGAUAACCCAGACCAUCAGCUAAGGUCCCUAAACCAACGCUAAGUGGACAAAGGAAGUGACCGUACAGAGACAGCCGGGAUGUUGGCUUAGAAGCAGCCACCAUUUAAAAAGUGCGUAAUAGCUUACCGGUCGAGUACGGUCGCGCCGACAAUAAUCGGGACUAAGCGUUGUACCGAAGCUAUGGCUUCAGUGACUGGUGUUCCAGUCCUGAGGGGUAGCGGAGCGUUCCAACCUGCGAUGAAGCCGUACCGUGAGGAGCGGUGGAGUGGUUGGUAGUGAUGAUCCCGGAUUCAGUAGCGAUAAAACGGGUUAGAAUCCCGUUCGUCGUAAGCCUAAGGGUUCCGGAGCAAGGUAAUUCCGCUUCGGGUUAGUCGGUCCCUAAGCCGAGGCCGAAAGGCGUAGGUGAUGGGAAUGACGUUAAUAUUCGUCAACCUCGUUGAGGUGCGAUGGGGAGACCCAGGGUUGAAGGUCUAGGGCCUAUUGGAUGGUCCGUUGCCCAAGAGGGUGGCAGGUAGGUAAAUCCGCCUGCGUGAUCUCUUGAGGGUGAGACAUUGCGGCUUCGGCCAAAGUGUACUGACUGGAUGUCCUGGCAAGAAAAGCCUCUAAGCAUAACUUCAAUGAGACCGUACCCAAAACCGACACAGGUAGGCGAGGAGAAUAUCCUCAGACGCGCGUGAGAACUCUGCGGAAGGAACUCGGCAAACUGACCCCGUAAGUUCGCAAUAAGGGGUGCCUACCCGUAAGGGAGGUCACAGAAAAGAGGCUCUGCCGACUGUUUAUCAAAAACACAGCUCUCUGCUAACUCCGAAGAGGAUGUAUAGAGAGCGACGCUUGCCCAAUGCUGGAAGGUCAAGGGGACUGGUCAGACGUAAGUCAAAGCCGGGAACCUAAGCCCCAGUGAAUGGCGGCCCUAACUAUGAGGGUCCUAAGGUAGCGAAAUUCCUUGGCUGGUAAGUUCAGUCGCGCACGAAGAGCGGCACGAGUGGAGCACUGUCUCCCGCAGGGACACGGCGAAAUAGGAGUUGUUGUGAAGAUACAACAUACCCGCAGCUAGGCGGAAAGACCCUAUGCAGCUUUACUGUAAUCUGACACUGUGCCUUCGUAUUUGAUGCGUAGGAUAGGUGGGAGGCGUUGAUUCCAGGGUUUCGGCCCUGGAGGAGCCAUCGGUGAAAUACCACCCUUUAGGUAUGAAGGUUCUAACCUCACUCCGUAAUCCGGGUGUGGGACACUGUUUGAUGGACAGUUUGACUGGGGCGGUUUCCUCCCAAAAAGUAACGGAGGAGUUCAAAGGUACCCUCAGGGCGGUCGGUCAUCGCCCGAAGAGCGCAAAGGUAGAAGGGUGCUUGACUGCGAGACUAAUGAGUCGAGCAGACUGGAAACAGGGACUUAGUGAUCCUGUGGAUCCGUGUGGAAGGGACAUAGCUUAUCAGAUAAAAGCUACGCUAGGGAUAACAGGCUGAUCCUACCUAAGAGUCCAUAUCGACGGUAGGGUUUGGCACCUCGAUGUCGGCUCAUCGCAUCCUGGGACUGAAGGCGGCCCCAAGGGUUCGGCUGUUCGCCGAUUAAAGCGGUACGUGAGCUGGGUUCAGACCGGCGCGAGCCAGGUUGGUCCCUACCUACUGUGGGCGGAAGAGUUUUGAGCGAGUCUAACCUUAGUACGAGAGGAUUGGGUUGGACGUACCUCUGGUGUUCCUGUUGGGUCGCCAGACCCAGCGCAGGGUAGCUAUGUACGGAAAGGAUAAGCGCUGAAAGCAUAUAAGCGCGAAGCCCUUCGCGAGAUAAGAACUCUCUAUCAGGACCGUGGAAGACUACCACGUCGAUAGGCCGGGUGUGGAAGUGGUGAGAGCCACUAAGCUAACCGGUACUAAUCAUCCGAUCGGCUUGACCUC
This 2959-nucleotide ribosomal RNA is filed under the name Planctomycetota bacterium. Its description in RNAcentral is "23S ribosomal RNA". It matches the Rfam family "Bacterial large subunit ribosomal RNA". Lineage: Bacteria; Pseudomonadati; Planctomycetota. The record is from RNAcentral.